UUUUUUUUUUUUUUUUCAUUCACAAUAAAGAUUAAACAAAAUUUUCUAAACUCCACUCUUUUUGCAUUUUACUUUGCUGCUGGCUUUUCUUUUUUCUUGAAUCUUAACAUACCUUUUUUUUUUCCCCCAUUGAAGCUUUAUUUUUAUUUUUCCAUUGAGGCUUUUCUUUUUUUCUUUUCUUUUCUUUUCUUUUCUUUUCUUUUCUUUUCUUUUUUUUAACACUACCUAUAUCCAUUAGCUGCCUAAUUAGUUUUAUCUAUUCCAUGUGGAUGCAGUGAGUUUAUAAGAGAAUUUCACAAACAAGUAGUUUUUUAGUGAACUUAAACAGAAUUUUAAAGGAGACCUAUUUUUAUACUCAAUAAAAGCACAAAAGUGCAGAAAGUAUAAAAUGGCUUACAAAGGGAAACAUAAGUUCAUACUGUUCCAUGUAUAAAAGUAAUAAUUUUAUUGGGUAGAGAUACUCUUAAAAGAUUCAAUACCUCUGCCAGUGCACAGAUAGGACUGUUCUAAAUGACUUGGAAACUUCUGGUUGCCUGUGGUUGCAAACAGAGAAUCUCUCCGUCGAGAAAACAAACCGCUGAAAGCAAUAGGACGGAGUUGACCACGUGGUUUCACAUGAGCAGUUGAGGAAUUGAAACACCCUGGAUGUGCGUACGUGGAGGCUUCCUUGUCAUGGUUUGAUCAAACUUCUUUUAUGUAGUCACAUAGACGUGGGUUUUCUGUGCUGUGAAAAAUGACAAAGCAAUAUGACAAAAAGUCUGAAAAUGCGUAGGAAAUAUUUACUCUAGGGUCCUUGAAGGGACGUUGAUGUUUAUGUUAUUUUAUUAGAUGGAUUACAUUCCCUCUUUGAGAAAAGAAAGAGCGACUGGAAAUAAUAAGAUGAUACCAUAGAAAGAAUUUUGAUCAAAUAGAUAUUGACAAAGGGCCCUCUAACACAUUUUUCUUCAUCCAGCUUAUGUUCAAGAACACAAUGCCCCAUCCCUUGAAUCACAUAGGGAGAAACGUUAUAUACCAUUACCAUUAAUUUCCCAUUUUGUCUACUUUUUACUCUUGUACAUAUGUUGUGGGUUUAAGAGUCUUUUGCAUUUGUUUGUGACACCUUUUUUUGAAUGGACUGUUUCAAAACUGGAGGCCUACUUUUCUGGUCUGGGGCUCCUAGUGGUCACGGCAUCCUGCAAUGCUUCAUGGUGGCCACCAGGACAGGGCCACCUGAUGAGUGAGAGCAGUUUUCAGCAUGACACUGUUGCCAAGUCUGUAUUUUCCAAGGCCACAUGAAACUUAACUUUCAUAGCCACUCCAGGUUUGGGAGCAGAAAAGCUGAAAACCCUUUUGUUUAGGAGUCUGAGUGGUUUGUUGGGGGGGAACCUUUUUUAGAGUUUGCAUGCCAGCGCACGCCCUGAUGCUGUGAAACAGAGAGAGGGUGAAGCUCCCCGAGGCGGUGCGCUGGAGGAUGAAGUGUUUGGUAGCACUAGGGGGAAAAGAAAAUGCAUGGCAAAGUUUCGUCUUCUUGUAGACUAUCUAGCAUGCAGAGUUUAGUGUGUUAGAACAGUGUAUGACAUUGCUGUAUCAAAGUUGUAAAAUUAAGCAUUAUUUAUUGAAAACUAUGUAUUUUUUUGUAAAAACCUGAUCACAUAGAGAAUAUCAGUGGCUUGUGCUCGUGCUCCAAUGGAACCAGCUUCGUGACCCACCCUCCUUGGUAUGCAGUGUUAUUGCUCAGGGUUGAAAAUAGUAUACCCCAAUGUCUCUUUGCAAGAGUUUUUCACAGAGGAAUACAUUUGUUCAAAAGACUCUAAUAAAAUUGUGUGAUCGAUCUGCACUUGUGGUUUUUAUGUGACUCUUUUACGGUUUUGCAUUUGAUAACUACCGUAUGAUUCCUGAUCGUCCCAGACAGGCUUGCAGAGUCCUGGAUGUCAGCCUGGACAGGAGUAGACCCCACAGGAAUGCUCUGGGCAGGUUUGAGAGCUGCUGAUAAUGGGAAUGAGCAUGAUAAUAAGGUCUCGAGAUUUUUAACUGGCCAAUCGAGUGGGUAAAAGCAUAAGCAAAGUAUAACAAGGCAGAUGAACAUGCUCGGUCAGAAAUGCUUGAGGUAGAAAAUGAAGGGAACUUAUUCAGGGCCAGUUGAUGCUGUUAAAUUCAGUGCCAGCAAACUCCCAUUUCUCUGUGUCCUUUUGUUUUUGUUUUGUUUUGUUUUUGUUUUUGUUUUUUCCUAUCAACAAUUUACAGUGUAAAUGUAUUUUGACAUAGAAAUCAUUCUGUAUUGAGAUUCUGGAUAUAAAAUGCUUUUAUGGAUGCCUGUAAGUGAUCCUUGGAAUUAUUAUCAGAUUUUUUUAAAGAUGUGUUUACAUGGUGAGUGUUUGUUGUAUAUUAAAUUUGGUUUUG
Molecule: long non-coding RNA, 2379 nt
Filed under: Canis lupus familiaris (dog)
Lineage: Eukaryota; Metazoa; Chordata; Mammalia; Carnivora; Canidae
Description: lncRNA (ENSCAFG00845022249.1)
Source: RNAcentral